This 517-nucleotide ribosomal RNA is filed under the name uncultured bacterium. RNAcentral's name for it is "bacterial SSU rRNA". It matches the Rfam family "Bacterial small subunit ribosomal RNA", at positions 8 to 518 of the family's 1533-position model. The record is from RNAcentral.
AGAAUUGAUCUGGUUCAGGAUGAACGCUAGCGACAGGCUUAACACAUGCAAGUCGAGGGGCAGCACGGGAGUAGCAAUACAACUGGUGGCGACCGGCGCACGGGUGAGUAACGCGUAUGCAACCUACCUAUCAGAGGGGAAUAACCCGGCGAAAGUCGGACUAAUACCGCAUAAAACAGGGGCACCGCAUGGUGAUAUUUGUUAAAGAAAUUCGCUGAUAGAUGGGCAUGCGUUCCAUUAGGUAGUUGGUGAGGUAACGGCUCACCAAGCCGACGAUGGAUAGGGGAACUGAGAGGUUGGUCCCCCACACUGGUACUGAGACACGGACCAGACUCCUACGGGAGGCAGCAGUGAGGAAUAUUGGUCAAUGGGCGAGAGCCUGAACCAGCCAAGUCGCGUGAAGGAAGAAGGAUCUAUGGUUCGUAAACUUCUUUUGCAGGGGAAUAAAGUGCAGGACGUGUCCUGUUUUGUAUGUACCCUGAGAAUAAGGAUCGGCUAACUCCGUGCCAGCCGCCGC